This is an RNA transcript of Panicum virgatum (switchgrass), 2240 nucleotides long. It is a transcript of the gene named calcium-dependent protein kinase 15, with no coding region annotated. The record is from RefSeq and is a predicted model, not a curated record. NCBI's taxonomy places the organism in Eukaryota, Viridiplantae, Streptophyta, Magnoliopsida, Poales, Poaceae. The transcript is spliced from 8 exons.
GCGCCAGCCCGCGGUUUGGACGGCACGGGACGGGCCGGCCGCCGACCCGUGCGUCCCGUCUCGCCUCCACGCGCAAACCCCCGACCAAACACGCCAGCGCCCCCCACGACCAAAGGGCGAGGGGGCCAUCUCCAUGUCAUGCUCGCCGCCUCCUGCCCCUCUUCCCCGCCUCCUCCCCCGCCCCGCCCCACUCCUCCACUGACCGCGCGCCGGCGCCCGAUCGGCCGCCAUGGGAGGCCGAGCCUCCCGCCACCGCGCCCAAUCGCACGACCAGGGGCCCAACACAUCGCAGCAUCACCACCAGCAGCAGCAUAACCGCCCGAAGCCCAAGCAGCACCGGCCGCAGCCCCCGCCGCCGCAGGAGCCGCGCCCCCACGCCCUCCCUCCCGCGCGGCAGCAGCACCCGGACGCCGCCGCGGCGGCCGGGGCGGCCGCCGCCGGGGUGGGGCGGGUGCUGGGCCGCCCCAUGGAGGACGUCCGCGCGGCCUACACCUUCGGGCGCGAGCUCGGCCGGGGCCAGUUCGGGGUCACCUACCUGGCCACGCACAAGGCCACGGGCCGCCGCUACGCCUGCAAGUCCAUCGCGGCGCGGAAGCUCGCGCACCGGGACGACGUCGAGGACGUGCGCCGCGAGGUGCAGAUCAUGCACCACCUCACGGGCCACCGCAACAUCGUCGAGCUCCGGGGCGCCUACGAGGACCGCCACUCGGUCAACCUCGUCAUGGAGCUCUGCGAGGGCGGGGAGCUCUUCGACCGGAUCAUCGCCAGGGGACACUACUCCGAGCGCGCCGCCGCUGCGCUCUGCAGGGAGAUCGUCUCCGUCGUGCACAGCUGCCACUCCAUGGGCGUCAUGCACAGGGACCUCAAGCCGGAGAACUUCCUCUUCCUCAACAAGAGGGAGGACUCGCCGCUCAAGGCCACUGACUUUGGCCUAUCCGUGUUCUUCAAGCCCGGUGAGCAGUUCAGGGAUCUUGUGGGCAGUGCAUAUUAUGUCGCCCCAGAGGUGCUGAAAAGGCAAUAUGGAGCUGAGGCAGACAUAUGGAGUGCCGGAGUUAUCCUUUACAUCCUACUAUCUGGUGUUCCUCCUUUCUGGGCCGAGAAUGAAGAUGGCAUAUUUGACGCUGUUUUGCGAGGCCAUAUUGAUUUCGCAUCUGAUCCCUGGCCUUCAAUAUCCAAUAGUGCCAAAGAUUUGGUCAAGAAAAUGCUACGGCAAGACCCAAAGGAGCGGCUUACUGCUGCUGAAAUUUUAAACCAUCCAUGGAUUAGAGAGGAUGGAGAAGCCCCAGACAAACCACUUGAUAUUACAGUAAUUGGUAGAAUGAAGCAGUUCAGGGCAAUGAACAAACUUAAGAAGGUUGCUUUGAAGGUUGUUGCAGAGAACCUGUCUGAAGAAGAGAUUGUGGGACUAAAAGAAAUGUUUAAAUCCCUUGAUACUGACAACAGUGGGACAAUAACCCUGGAGGAAUUAAGAACUGGUUUACCAAAGCUGGGCACCAAAAUUUCUGAAUCAGAAAUAAGGCAGCUGAUGGAGGCGGCUGAUGUUGAUGGAAAUGGUACCAUUGAUUAUGUUGAAUUCAUAUCAGCAACAAUGCACAUGAAUAGACUAGAGAAGGAGGAUCACAUAUAUAAGGCAUUCGAGUAUUUUGAUAAGGACCACAGCGGCUUGCACAUUCCUGUACAGGCACAUAACAGUUGAUGAGUUGGAAGAAGCUCUGAAGAAGUAUGAUAUGGGUGAUGAAGCAACAAUUAAAGAAAUUAUUGCUGAAGUGGAUACAGAUCAUGAUGGGAGAAUCGAUUACCAGGAGUUUGUUGCCAUGAUGAAGAAUAACAGCCCCGAGAUUGUUCCAAAUCGGCGGCGCAUGUUUUAAUGGUCUCCUACAUUUAUUGUGAAAACAGCUUCUCAGAAAUUUUCCACGGUCUUUGUAACUGUUGAGGAGAGCAGUACCUACUCCAAGUGGAAUUUUGUCAGGCAUCUAUGCUGACAUUCCAUACUUGGACGGGGUGCCUCUCCCCUCGUGUGCCCUUCAGUAUGGAUGUUUGGUGGUUCUUUCUGGUGCCUCCUUGUUCUACCAUCUCAUUUUACAAUUUUGCCAUGUAUCUAUCCAUACUGGGGUGUGCCUUCUGGUCAAAGUUUCCUGCCCCUGUAACUUCUAUGUAAGAAAAGGGCUUGUAAAACAGUUUCAAAUGAUCAUAUCAGCCAAAAGGAAUGAAGUGUCAUCCAAUCUUGUGUUUUUUUGCCA